RNAcentral lists this ribosomal RNA (408 nucleotides) under uncultured bacterium. RNAcentral describes it as "partial 16S ribosomal RNA". It matches the Rfam family "Bacterial small subunit ribosomal RNA", at positions 28 to 526 of the family's 1533-position model. The record is from RNAcentral.
GACGAACGCUGGCGGCGUGCCUAAUACAUGCAAGUCGAGCGAAGCGGCGGAUGGGUGAGUAACGCGUGGGUAACCUGCCCUUAAGUCUGGGAUACCAUUUGGAAACAGAUGCUCAUACCGGAUACUAAAGGAUGGACCUGCGAUGCAUUAGCUAGUUGGUAAGGUAACGGCUUACCAAGGCGAUGAUGCAUAGGCGAGUUGAGAGACUGAUCGGCCACAUUGGUACUGAGACGCGGCCUGAACUCCUACGUGAGGCAGCAUAAGGACAUCUUCCACAAUGGACGAAAGGCUAAUGUGGCAACGCCGCGAGAGCGAGAAGGGUUUUCGGAUCGUAAAGCUCUGUUGUUGGUGAAGCGGUAAUCAACCAGAAAGUCACGGCUAACUACGGGCCAGCAGCCGCGGUAAUUC